CCUACGGGUGGCAGCAGUGGGGAAUAUUGGACAAUGGGCGAAAGCCUGAUCCAGCCAUGCCGCGUGUGUGAAGAAGGCCUUCGGGUUGUAAAGCACUUUCAGUGGGGAAGAAAGCCUUGGGGCUAAUACCCUCGAGGAAGGACAUCACCCACAGAAGAAGCACCGGCUAACUCCGUGCCAGCAGCCGCGGUAAUACGGAGGGUGCGAGCGUUAAUCGGAAUUACUGGGCGUAAAGCGCGCGUAGGCGGUCUGAUAAGCCGGUUGUGAAAGCCCCGGGCUCAACCUGGGAACGGCAUCCGGAACUGUCAGGCUAGAGUGCAGGAGAGGAAGGUAGAAUUCCCGGUGUAGCGGUGAAAUGCGUAGAGAUCAGGAGGAAUACCAGUGGCGAAGGCGGUCUUCUGGACUGACACUGACGCUGAGGUGCGAAAGCGUGGGUAGCAAACAGGAUUAGAUACCCUAGUAGUC
This 465-nucleotide ribosomal RNA is filed under the name Vreelandella stevensii. RNAcentral describes it as "partial 16S ribosomal RNA". It matches the Rfam family "Bacterial small subunit ribosomal RNA", at positions 338 to 795 of the family's 1533-position model. Lineage: Bacteria; Pseudomonadati; Pseudomonadota; Gammaproteobacteria; Oceanospirillales; Halomonadaceae. The record is from RNAcentral.